RNAcentral lists this ribosomal RNA (246 nucleotides) under uncultured Eubacteriales bacterium. RNAcentral's name for it is "uncultured Clostridiales bacterium partial 16S ribosomal RNA". It matches the Rfam family "Bacterial small subunit ribosomal RNA", at positions 88 to 334 of the family's 1533-position model. Lineage: Bacteria; Bacillati; Bacillota; Clostridia; Eubacteriales. The record is from RNAcentral.
CGGAUUAGCGGCGGACGGGUGAGUAACACGUGAGUAACUUGCCUUAGACAUCAGGAUAGCCUCGGGAAACCGGGAUUAAUACCAAAUAAAAUCAUAAUGACACAUGUCAUAACGAUCAAAACUCCGGUGGUCUAAGAUGGACUCGCGUCCCAUUAGCUAGUUGGUAGAGUAAAAGCCUACCAAGGCGACGAUGGGUAGCCGGCCUGAGAGGGUGAACGGCCACAUUGGAACUGAGAAACGGUCCAA